RNAcentral lists this long non-coding RNA (219 nucleotides) under Carica papaya (papaya). RNAcentral describes it as "long non-coding RNA (CPAP_LNC013252)". The record is from RNAcentral. Lineage: Eukaryota; Viridiplantae; Streptophyta; Magnoliopsida; Brassicales; Caricaceae.
UUUUGAUUAUACGAACGUGAUAUUUUCAUAAGGUAACAUAGGUCUACAAGUAAUCAAACGGUAAGUAUGUAUGUUAGAAUAAUUCACCUUUAAAACCUUACGAUGUUAUUUAAAUACAUUUUCCUUUCUGAGCAUAUAAAACUCACUUUUUCUAUGUCUUCCCACCAGAUGAGAAAGAAAAUGAGGAACCGCUAGCUAACCUAUCUAUUGAAGUUUAUG